This 447-nucleotide ribosomal RNA is filed under the name uncultured bacterium. RNAcentral's name for it is "partial 16S ribosomal RNA". It matches the Rfam family "Bacterial small subunit ribosomal RNA", at positions 29 to 523 of the family's 1533-position model. The record is from RNAcentral.
AGCGAACGCUGGCGGCAGGCUUAACACAUGCAAGUCGAACGCCCCGCAAGGGGAGUGGCAGACGGGUGAGUAACACGUGGGAACGUACCCUUUGGUUCGGAAUAACUUGGGGAAACUCAAGCUAAUACCGGAUAAGCCCUUAUGGGGAAAGGUUUACUGCCGAAGGAUCGGCCCGCGUCUGAUUAGCUAGUUGGUGAGGUAAUGGCUCACCAAGGCGACGAUCAGUAGCUGGUCUGAGAGGAUGAUCAGCCACGCUGGGACUGAGACACGGCCCAGACUCCUACGGGAGGCAGCAGUGGGGAAUAUUGGACAAUGGGGGCAACCCUGAUCCAGCCAUGCCGCAUGAGUGAUGAAGGCCUUAGGGUUGUAAAGCUCUUUUACCCGGGACGAUAAUGACUGUACCGGGAGAAUAAGCCCCGGCUAACUUCGUGCCAGCCGCCGCAGUAA